GACGAACGCUGGCGGCGUGCUUAACACAUGCAAGUCGAACGGAAAGGCCCUGCUUUUGUGGGGUGCUCGAGUGGCGAACGGGUGAGUAACACGUGAGUAACCUGCCCUUGACUUUGGGAUAACUUCAGGAAACUGGGGCUAAUACCGGAUAGGAGCUCCUGCUGCAUGGUGGGGGUUGGAAAGUUUCGGCGGUUGGGGAUGGACUCGCGGCUUAUCAGCUUGUUGGUGGGGUAGUGGCUUACCAAGGCUUUGACGGGUAGCCGGCCUGAGAGGGUGACCGGCCACAUUGGGACUGAGAUACGGCCCAGACUCCUACGGGAGGCAGCGGUGGGGAAUAUUGCACAAUGGGCGGAAGCCUGAUGCAGCAACGCCGCGUGCGGGAUGACGGCCUUCGGGUUGUAAACCGCUUUCGCCUGUGACGAAGCGUGAGUGACGGUAAUGGGUAAAGAGGCACCGGCUAACUACGUG
RNAcentral lists this ribosomal RNA (468 nucleotides) under uncultured bacterium. Its description in RNAcentral is "partial 16S ribosomal RNA". It matches the Rfam family "Bacterial small subunit ribosomal RNA", at positions 28 to 507 of the family's 1533-position model. The record is from RNAcentral.